Molecule: RNase P RNA, 385 nt
Filed under: Dehalococcoidia bacterium
Lineage: Bacteria; Bacillati; Chloroflexota; Dehalococcoidia
Description: RNase P RNA component class A
Rfam family: Bacterial RNase P class A
About the family: Ribonuclease P (RNase P) is a ubiquitous endoribonuclease, found in archaea, bacteria and eukarya as well as chloroplasts and mitochondria.
Source: RNAcentral
CAAGUAAACCGGGUGACUGCCUGUCCGGGCCGUUCGCGGUCCGGGUGGGAGGAAAGUCCGAGCUCCACCGGGCAGGAUGCUGGGUAACACCCAGGGGGGGUGACCCCACGGAAAGUGCCACAGAAACAUACCGCCUGUACCUGUUAUCGUUCCCGAAAACAGGUGCGGGUAAGGGUGAAAUGGUGAGGUAAGAGCUCACCAGCGGCUGGGAGACCAGUCGGCUGGGCAAACCCCAUCCGGAGCAAGACCGAAUAGGGGGAAGUAUGGCGCCCGGCCUUUUCCCCGGGUUGGUCGCAUGACCCUGGUGGCAACACCAGGGCUAGAUAGAUGGUCACCGCUCCGGGAAACCGGAGUACAGAACUCGGCUUACAGGUUUACUUGACCC